CACGCAGGCGGUUAUGUAAGUCGGACGUGAAAGCUCCUGGCUCAACUGGGAGAGGUCGUUCGAUACUGCGUAACUUGAGGUUGGGAGAGGGGAGCGGAAUUCCCGGUGUAGUGGUGGAAUGCGUAGAUAUCGGGAGGAACACCAGUGGCGAAAGCGGCUCCCUGGCCCACACCUGACGCUCAGGUGCGAAAGCGUGGGUAGCGAACG
Molecule: ribosomal RNA, 207 nt
Filed under: uncultured bacterium
Lineage: Bacteria
Description: partial 16S ribosomal RNA
Rfam family: Bacterial small subunit ribosomal RNA
Source: RNAcentral